UACGUAGGGGGCUAGCGUUGUCCGGAAUCAUUGGGCGUAAAGCGCGCGUAGGCGGUCCGGUAAGUCCGCUGUGAAAGUCGGGGGCUCAACCCUCGGAUGCCGGUGGAUACUGUCGGGCUUGAGUACGGAAGAGGCGAGUGGAAUUCCUGGUGUAGCGGUGAAAUGCGCAGAUAUCAGGAGGAACACCAAUUGCGAAGGCAGCUCGCUGGGACGUUACUGACGCUGAGACGCGAAAGCGUGGGGAGCAAACAGG
This 253-nucleotide ribosomal RNA is filed under the name uncultured bacterium. Its description in RNAcentral is "partial 16S ribosomal RNA". It matches the Rfam family "Bacterial small subunit ribosomal RNA", at positions 524 to 776 of the family's 1533-position model. The record is from RNAcentral.